CAGCGCCACGAGUGGCGACCACAAUUAUUGGGCCUAAAGCGUCCGUAGCCGGUUUUGUAAAUGCUCUGUGAAAUUGUCGGGCUCAACCCGACAACGUGCAAAGCAGACUGCAGAACUCGAGACCGGGAGGAGUCAGAAGUAUGCCUGGGGGAGCGGUAAAAUGUUAUAAUCUCAGGUAGACUACCUGUGGCGAAGGCGUCUGACUAGAACGGUUCUGACGGUGAGGGACGAAAGCCAGGGGAGCGAAAUGGAUUAGAUACCCGUGUAGUCC
RNAcentral lists this ribosomal RNA (271 nucleotides) under uncultured archaeon. RNAcentral describes it as "partial 16S ribosomal RNA". It matches the Rfam family "Archaeal small subunit ribosomal RNA", at positions 477 to 747 of the family's 1478-position model. The record is from RNAcentral.